CUACUCUUGACAUCCACGGAAUUCGGCAGAGAUGCCUUAGUGCCUUCGGGAACCGUGAGACAGGUGCUGCAUGGCUGUCGUCAGCUCGUGUUGUGAAAUGUUGGGUUAAGUCCCGCAACGAGCGCAACCCUUAUCCUUUGUUGCCAGCGGUUCGGCCGGGAACUCAAAGGAGACUGCCAGUGAUAAACUGGAGGAAGGUGGGGAUGACGUCAAGUCAUCAUGGCCCUUACGACCAGGGCUACACACGUGCUACAAUGGCGCAUACAAAGAGAAGCGACCUCGCGAGAGCAAGCGGACCUCAUAAAGUGCGUCGUAGUCCGGAUUGGAGUCUGCAACUCGACUCCAUGAAGUCGGAAUCGCUAGUAAUCGUGGAUCAGAAUGCCACGGUGAAUACGUUCCC
Molecule: ribosomal RNA, 400 nt
Filed under: uncultured bacterium
Lineage: Bacteria
Description: bacterial SSU rRNA
Rfam family: Bacterial small subunit ribosomal RNA
Source: RNAcentral